RNAcentral lists this ribosomal RNA (253 nucleotides) under uncultured bacterium. Its description in RNAcentral is "partial 16S ribosomal RNA". It matches the Rfam family "Bacterial small subunit ribosomal RNA", at positions 524 to 776 of the family's 1533-position model. The record is from RNAcentral.
UACGUAGGGGGCAAGCGUUGUCCGGAUUUAUUGGGCGUAAAGAGCUCGUAGGCGGUUUGUCGCGUCGGAUGUGAAAACCCAGGGCUCAACCCUGGGCCUGCAUUCGAUACGGGCAAACUAGAGUAUGGCAGGGGAGACUGGAAUUCCUGGUGUAGCGGUGAAAUGCGCAGAUAUCAGGAGGAACACCGGUGGCGAAGGCGGGUCUCUGGGCCAAAACUGACGCUGAGGAGCGAAAGCGUGGGGAGCGAACAGG